UACGGAUGGGGCCCUCGGGUACCCACUGUAACCAAACUCCGAAUACCAACAGCCAAGGCAAGGGAGUCAGCCCACGAGUGACAAUAUCCGUGGACAAAAGGGAAACAUCCCAGACCGCCAGCUAAGGUCCCUGAACAUUGCUUAGUUCUAAAGGAAGUCGAAGCGCAAAGACAGCCAGGAUGUUGGCUUAGAAGCAGCCACCAUUUAAAGAGUGCGUAAUAGCUCACUGGUCGAGGGUUUCGGCGCCGAUAAUGAUCGGGAAUAAGCAAUGUACCGAAGCUGCGGGCUGCGUAAGCAGCGGUAGGAGAGCGUUCCUGUCAGCAGAGAAGGCGUCCCGAAAGGGUCGCUGGAGCGUCAGGAAGUGAAUAUGCCGGGUUGAGUAACGAUAAAGCAGGUGAAAAUCCUGCUCGCCGAAAAUCUAAGGUUUCCUGGGGAAGGUAAAUCCGCCCAGGGUCAGCCGGGACCUAAGGUGAGGCCGAAAGGCGUAGCCGAUGGACGGCAGGUUAAUAUUCCUGCGCUACUGUGGAGAUCAAUCAUGAGUGCGGAUCGGUCAGCCCUGCGUAAGCACCAGCUUGCUGAGGCCCUUGAGGCCGCUGCAGGGGGCUCUGGUCCCGAGAAAAGCUCAUGUGGCAAAGCAGUACCCGUACCAAAACCGACACAGGUAGAUGAGGUGAAUAACCUAAGGCGCUCGAGAUAACGGAAGUGAAGGAAUUAGGCAAAUUGACCCCGUAAGUUCGCGAUAAGGGGGCCCUACCCCUCGGGGAGGGCGCAGAGAAAAGGCUCUGGCGACUGUUUAUCAAAAACACAGCACUGUGCUAACUCGCAAGAGGACGUAUACAGUGUGACGCCUGCCCAAUGCCGGAAUGUCACGGAAGCGGGUUAGCUUCGGCGAAGCUCGUAACCUAAGCACCGGUCAAUGGCGGCCGUAACUAUGACGGUCCUAAGGUAGCGAAGUUCCUUGUCGGGUAAGUUCCGACGCGCAUGAAUGGCGUAACGACUGGAGCACUGUCUCCACUUCCGACUCGGUGAAAUAGUAGUGGCGGUGAAGAUGCCGCCUACCCGCGACAAGACGGAAAGACCCCAUGAACCUUUACUAUAGGCUUUUAUUGCACAUGAGUUUGUAUUGCGUAGGAUAGGUGGGAGGCUUUGAAGCGGCCGUUCUGGCGGUCGUGGAGCCAUCCUUGAAAUACCACCCUUUACCUAUUCGUGUGCUAACCCCGAUUCCCGUGAAGCCGGGCGGGGGACAGUGAGUGCUGGGUAGUUUGACUGGGGCGGUCUCCUCCGAAAGAGUAACGGAGGAGCGCAAAGGUUGGUUCAGCGCGGAUGGAAACCGCGUGUUGAGUGUAAGAGCACAAGCCAGCUUUACUGCGAGAGCGACGGCUCGAGCAGUCUCGAAAGAGGGCUCUAGUGAUCCUGCGAUCCCGUGUGGAAGGGUCGUAGCUCAUCGGAUAAAAGGUACUCUGGGGAUAACAGGCUGAUCGCUCCCGAGCGUCCAUAGCGGCGGAGCGGUUUGGCACCUCGAUGUCGGCUCAUCGCAUCCUGGGGCUGAAGGCGGUCCCAAGGGUUAGGCUGUUCGCCUAUUAAAGCGGUACGCGAGCUGGGUUCAGACCGGCGUGAGCCAGGUCGGUCCCUAUCUGUCGUGGGCGCUGCACAUUUGAGAGGAGUCUUCCUUAGUACGAGAGGAUUAGGAAGGACGAACCCCUGGUGAUCCAGCUGUCGCGCUAGCGGCACCGCUGGGUAGCUAAGUUCGGCAGGGAUAACCGCUGAAAGCAUCUAAGCGGGAAGCCCCCCUCAAGAUGAGAUGUGCUUGCUAUACGCGUGAGACCCCUGGAAGACCACCAGGUUGA
This 1847-nucleotide ribosomal RNA is filed under the name Cladocopium sp. clade C. RNAcentral describes it as "bacterial LSU rRNA". It matches the Rfam family "Bacterial large subunit ribosomal RNA", at positions 915 to 2856 of the family's 2925-position model. The record is from RNAcentral. Lineage: Eukaryota; Dinophyceae; Suessiales; Symbiodiniaceae.